RNAcentral lists this non-coding RNA (225 nucleotides) under Desulfuromonadales bacterium. RNAcentral describes it as "T-box sequence". It matches the Rfam family "T-box leader". From Rfam's summary of the family: Uncharged tRNA acts as the effector for transcription antitermination of genes in the T-box leader family. T-boxes are found upstream of many aminoacyl-tRNA synthetase genes and some amino acid biosynthetic genes usually in Gram-positive bacteria. Lineage: Bacteria; Pseudomonadati; Thermodesulfobacteriota; Desulfuromonadia; Desulfuromonadales. The record is from RNAcentral.
AGAAAAGCGUUGAAGAGGAGUAGUAGGCGCUCAAUUCCGUUUCAGAGAGCCGGCGGUUGCUGUGAGCCGGUACGGAAACACGCUGAACUCGCCUUGGAGCUGCAGGGAUGAAGCCGCAUCGGUUAUUUUCUGCCGUGAGCCUGCGUGAAGGGAUAAUUAAGGGUUUCGUUCUAAGCGAGACCGAACCAGGGUGGUACCGCGAAGCUGAAAGCUCUCGCCCCUGUU